Long non-coding RNA from Orbicella faveolata, 1028 nucleotides. Lineage: Eukaryota; Metazoa; Cnidaria; Anthozoa; Scleractinia; Merulinidae. The record is from RefSeq and is a predicted model, not a curated record.
GCAAAAAUUCGACGGAGAGGGUGCUGGUAGGGCAAGCAAGUGAUUGCGGAAUACUGUUCAUUCAUGCGUAGCAAAUGCUACGAAGGAGCUACCAAGGAGAUCCGACAUGUUUGUGCGAUCAAUGUUUGGGAGUCUAGGGCCAUUCUUUCCAAAAAAUCGACCAUAAAUGGUGAUGGUCAGUAGCCUGCAACGUUUUUCUCCGAGGUGAAAGUUCUACAGUUUCAGUUGUACAACAUUUGUGUCCUGAAGAACACAUUCAAAGUUCUUGUGCCAUUCUGAUGCUUGCUCUGUCCAAUGGUGUUCUAUACAGUGAUACUAUUGGGUGAUUCUCAUGUUGGAAAAACAUGUUUGCGUGAUAGAUAUGUUGAGGGACCAGCUGGUUUCAAACAUUAUGAAGGAGUCCUUAUUCCAAGUGAGAUAUUUUCUUCUAAUCAGCAUUAUUUAAAUGGAGUAAGUUUAAUUAUUACAUGACCAAGUUAGUCCAGUCAAGGCCAAUAACCAAAACCAACCAAUCAGAUUACUUUAUUGCUGUUCCAUAUUUUCGCUUAUGGCUUACUUGUUUACAGGAAAUAACUUAGAUUUCAAAGCUUAUUAAUCGUUUCCUUUCAACUUUUUCCCCUUUUUGCCUCGUGCCCAUGUGACCAGAGCCACGUGGACACUAGGAUAUGGAGGGUUUUUGCUGUAUUCCUUUCUAAGGAUUCUUCCCAUUCCAGUCUUAAUGAAGAUUCCUGUGUAAGGAUACUUCGCAUGCCCAAUGUAAGAUUCCUGUGUAAAGAGUUUUUGCAUUUCUGAUUGUAUUCUGUUUACUUAACAUUUUAUUAACAACAUGAAAGCAUGUCAUCGCAUCACGUUACUUGGGUUAAACCAAGAAGCAAGUCAAAACCACUCUAGACAAAUCACACGGAGCGGAUUCACGCUGACUGGUUUUCGAAUUGAAUCCGGGAAAUGAAGCAAAAAACUUCAUACUUAAGCUUAAAGUUGGUUUUAAUUACAGAGCCACGUAAAGGUCCCUCAAACGGAAUCUGUUU